Molecule: ribosomal RNA, 254 nt
Filed under: uncultured bacterium
Lineage: Bacteria
Description: partial 16S ribosomal RNA
Rfam family: Bacterial small subunit ribosomal RNA
Source: RNAcentral
UACGGGGGGAGCAAGCGUUGUUCGGAUUUACUGGGCGUAAAGGGCGCGUAGGCGGCCACCGCAAGUCGGUUGUGAAAUCUCUGGGCUUAACCCAGAAAGGUCAACCGAUACUGCGGGGCUAGAGUGCAGAAGGGGCAACUGGAAUUCUCGGUGUAGCGGUGAAAUGCGUAGAUAUCGAGAGGAAUACCAAAGGCGAAGGCAGGUCACUGGGCAGUUACUGACACUGAGGCACGAAGGCUAGGGGAGCAAACGGG